GAUGAACGCUGGCGGCGUGCCUCAAACAUGCAAGUCGAGCGGGGCUAUGUAAUAUCGCAAGGUAGAACAUAGCCUAGCGGCGAACGGGUGAGUAACACGUGGGUAACCUGCCUGGAAGACAGGGAUAACGAUUCGAAAGGGUCGCUAAUACCUGAUAAUAUCCUUUCAUCGCAUGGUGAUAGGAAGAAAGGGGAAACCCGCUUUCAGAUGGGCCCGCGUCCCAUCAGCUAGUUGGUAAGGUAAAGGCUUACCAAGGCGACGACGGGUAGCCGGUCUGAGAGGAUGUACGGCCACACUGGGACUGAGAUACGGCCCAGACUCCUACGGGAGGCAGCAGUUGGGAAUCUUAGGCAAUGGACGAAAGUCUGACCUAGCGACGCCGCGUGAGGGAAGAAGGCCUUGGUUGUAACUACUGUCAUGGGGAAGGAAGUAAGUAGACGGUACCCGAACGAGGAAGACCCUCGCUAACUACGUAGCCAGCAGCCGCGGUAAAUAGACGUACU
RNAcentral lists this ribosomal RNA (503 nucleotides) under uncultured bacterium. Its description in RNAcentral is "bacterial SSU rRNA". It matches the Rfam family "Bacterial small subunit ribosomal RNA", at positions 28 to 531 of the family's 1533-position model. The record is from RNAcentral.